AGCGAACGCUGGCGGCAGGCCUAACACAUGCAAGUCGAACGAACCUUUCGGGGUUAGUGGCGGACGGGUGAGUAACACGUGGGAACGUGCCUUUAGGUUCGGAAUAACUCAGGGAAACUUGUGCUAAUACCGAAUGUGCCCUUCGGGGGAAAGAUUUAUCGCCUUUAGAGCGGCCCGCGUCUGAUUAGCUAGGUGGUUGAGGUAAUGGCUCACCAAGGCGACGAUCAGUAGCUGGUCUGAGAGGAUGAUCAGCCACAUUGGGACUGAGACACGGCCCAAACUCCUACGGGAGGCAGCAGUGGGGAAUCUUGCGCAGUGGGCGAAAGCCUGACGCAGCCAUGCCGCGUGAAUGAUGAAGGUCUUAGGAUUGUAAAAUUCUUUCACCGGGGACGAUAAUGACGGUACCCGGAGAAGAAGCCCCGGCUAACUUCGUG
RNAcentral lists this ribosomal RNA (434 nucleotides) under uncultured bacterium. RNAcentral's name for it is "partial 16S ribosomal RNA". It matches the Rfam family "Bacterial small subunit ribosomal RNA", at positions 29 to 507 of the family's 1533-position model. The record is from RNAcentral.